Molecule: long non-coding RNA, 1366 nt
Organism: Bubalus bubalis (water buffalo)
Lineage: Eukaryota; Metazoa; Chordata; Mammalia; Artiodactyla; Bovidae
Exons: 5
Source: RefSeq, a predicted model, not a curated record
AUAUCCCCUGGAUGAGAGCGUGGCAACUCACUCCAGUAUUCUUGCCUGGAGAAUCCCAUGGAUAGAGGAGCCUGGCGGGCUACAGUCCAUGGAGUCAACUGAAGUGACUUAGCACACAGCACACAUAAGAACUCAACUUGGAAUUGUCAAGCUCUCACCUCUGCCUUUUUCUACAGCCAAAGAAAGUCACAGGGCUCAACCUGAACUCAAGGAGUGGUGUUGACUAUGUUUGAAGUUGGCUGCAAAGAUGUAAACUGACUGAUUUCAAUGUAAGAAGACUACUAGACACAAAAUCUUCCUCUUUUCCCAGAUUUCAAGUCUUUCCCAGCAUCAGGGACUUUUCCAACGAGUCUAUUUGCAUCGAGUGACCAGGAUACUGGAGCUGCAGCUUGAGCAUCAGUCCUUCCAUUUCACCGACCAAUGGGAUCUCCCAAAGGAAAAUAUGAAACUCUCCAGCUGUCACUGCUGUGUUUGAAUCCAUCUUUGUGUCUUGGACAGAAGAAAUAGCUGAAAGGCAUGGACAAAUUUGGAAGACUUUUUAAAAGAGAAACAAAAAUGAGCAGUCCAAAGGAAGAAGGAAUUAGACUCAAAGCAAACUGUGAAUCCAUCUCCGUAGGGCUCACCAUGUCCCUUGGGAAAAUACAUUUCUGCAUCAUUCUCUGAAGCAAAUAUAGAGUAUAUCAUUGUUUCUAUCCAUGAGGAGCUAGGGCCUGGAAGAGAGAAUAUGUCUUCCAGAAGCAGCUCUCCUCACCUACAUUCAUGUUUCUCAAACUAGGACAGACCCACUCCUGGGAACCAAGGUCGAGAGUUAGAGGUAUCUUAUGUGUAACAACAAAAAAGUGUAGGGGGGUUAUAUUUUUAAAAAUAUACAACAUUUAUUGAGCAUACAUUGUAACAUUAUGCACAAUAAUAAUUUUCACAUUAAACCAAUGAGGCAGUUUAUUUGUUGUUGUUAUUUCAUGUUUUUCUACUGAUGAGGAAAGUGAAGCUCAAAGUGAUGUAAAUAACUUCUCCAAGGGCUUGAAGCUAGUGAAUGGAAAAGUGGGAUUCAAACCCAAGAUGCUUAAUUACAAAGCCUGACUCCUUAUCUCUUCUGUCUAAUCAAUAUUAAGCAGUAAUAAGUAAGAUAUAGUUUAUUAAAACGAAUUGGCUAUACCUUAUUGUUGAAUAAUUAUCAUGUUUUCUGUUGCUGCUACUGUUUUAGACAACUUUCUGUUUCAUGAUGAGUUAAUUUAGCCUGUAUAAUCAGACCCAGUGUUAUGGAGCAUCAUCUCUCUCAGCAGAGAUAUUUCUACUGGAAUUUUGAGAAAUACUGUUGAAAGCUUUUUUUUUUUUUUUUUAGUGGAAAUAAAGCUAUUUAAAUUUU